AUUCCCCUAGUAACGGCGAGUGAAGAGGGAAAAGCCCAAAUUUGUAAUCCGGCUUCUGUAACAGGAAGUCUGAGUUGUAAUUUUAAGAGCUGUUUUCAGUGUUGGACCACUCAUAAAUCUGAUGAAAAUCAGUGUCAUAGAAGGUGAUAACCCUGUAUGUUGAGUGGAGAACCAUUACAAUAUGAUACAGUUUCUAAGAGUCGAGUUGUUUGGGAAUGCAGCUCAAAGUGGGUGGUAAAUUCCAUCUAAGGCUAAAUAUUAGUGAGAGACCGAUAGCAAACAAGUACCGUGAGGGAAAGAUGAAAAGAACUUUGGAAAGAGAGUUAACAGUGCGUGAAAUUGUUAAAAGGGAAACACUUGAAGUUAUCACUUGCUUUUGUUGGUUCUUACAUCCUUGUUCAGGAUUUUAUUCCAACUAUGGGCAGGCCAAUGUCAAUUUAUAAGUGCUGGAGAAGGGCUCUAAAAAUGUAUCAGUCUUUUGGGACUGUGUUAUAGUUUGGAGCUUGGAUACAGUGCUAUGGAUUGAGAGAUUUUCAGUAAGCCUUACUUGUUGAGGUUGAGACAUCCGUGUCUUUCUUACUCAAGAUAUUGGCAAGAUGACUUUAAAUGACCCGUCUUGAA
This 621-nucleotide ribosomal RNA is filed under the name Ravenelia mimosae-sensitivae. RNAcentral describes it as "partial large subunit ribosomal RNA". It matches the Rfam family "Eukaryotic large subunit ribosomal RNA", at positions 74 to 658 of the family's 3401-position model. The record is from RNAcentral. Lineage: Eukaryota; Fungi; Basidiomycota; Pucciniomycetes; Pucciniales; Raveneliaceae.